RNAcentral lists this ribosomal RNA (527 nucleotides) under uncultured Roseivirga sp. Its description in RNAcentral is "bacterial SSU rRNA". It matches the Rfam family "Bacterial small subunit ribosomal RNA", at positions 389 to 917 of the family's 1533-position model. The record is from RNAcentral. Lineage: Bacteria; Pseudomonadati; Bacteroidota; Cytophagia; Cytophagales; Roseivirgaceae.
CAGCCAUGCCGCGUGCAGGAAGACGGCCUUCUGGGUUGUAAACUGCUUUUAUACGGGAAGAAAAGACCCUUGCGAGGGAGAUUGCCGGUACCGUAUGAAUAAGCACCGGCUAACUCCGUGCCAGCAGCCGCGGUAAUACGGAGGGUGCAAGCGUUGUCCGGAUUUAUUGGGUUUAAAGGGUGCGUAGGCGGGCCUUUAAGUCAGUGGUGAAAGCCUGCAGCUUAACUGUAGAACUGCCAUUGAUACUGGAGGCCUUGAGUGUACUAGAGGUAGGCGGAAUUUAUGGUGUAGCGGUGAAAUGCAUAGAUACCAUAAAGAACACCGAUAGCGUAGGCAGCUUACUGGAGUACAACUGACGCUGAGGCACGAAAGCAUGGGGAGCGAACAGGAUUAGAUACCCUGGUAGUCCAUGCCGUAAACGAUGAUUACUCGAUGUUGGCGAUACACUGUCAGCGUCCAAGCGAAAGCGUUAAGUAAUCCACCUGGGGAGUACGCUCGCAAGAGUGAAACUCAAAGGAAUUGACGGG